UACAGAGGGUGCGAGCGUUAAUCGGAAUUACUGGGCGUAAAGCGUGCGUAGACGGUUAUUUAAGUCGGGUGUGAAAGCCCCGGGCUCAACCUGGGAAUUGCAUUCGAGACUGAAUAGCUAGGGUACGGUAGAGGGAAGCGGAAUUUCCGGUGUAGCGGUGAAAUGCGUAGAUAUUCGGAAGAACACCAGUGGCGAAGGCGACUUACUGGACACAUAUUGACGCUGAGGUGCGAAAGCGUGGGGAGCAAACAGG
Molecule: ribosomal RNA, 253 nt
Filed under: uncultured bacterium
Lineage: Bacteria
Description: partial 16S ribosomal RNA
Rfam family: Bacterial small subunit ribosomal RNA
Source: RNAcentral